This 107-nucleotide microRNA precursor is filed under the name Marmota monax (woodchuck). The record is from RNAcentral. Lineage: Eukaryota; Metazoa; Chordata; Mammalia; Rodentia; Sciuridae.
AAAAAAAUCUCUUGGGGACCUUAUUGAAUUGCAGAUUCUGAUUCAGUUAGGUCAAGGACAUAGACUUGAGAUUCUGCAUUUCUGACAAGUUGUCAGGUAAUGCCCAG